AUGGGCCUGCAAGGCCCCCAUCAUAUGUGUUUUUUUUUUUUUUUUUUUUUAAAUUUUGGGACUUUUGUGCUUCUGUGGAGUUUGCCAUCUCUAUCUGAGUGUGUGUGUGGACUAGCUUUUCUUAUCUCUGUCUGGCAUUCAGAGGUUUUAGCCCUAGGCAGAUUGUCUGUUCUAUGCAGUUGUUGUUCUGUCUUCCCGGGAAACCAGGAGUUGCUGGUGUGUCACUGUUACUGCCCUCCUCUCCUCGGCACCCUCCUGAUGCUUCUCUGUUGCCUUACUUCCAAGCUCUAAGCCUAGCUUGGCCCUUGUUCCUGUGCCUUAGCCGGCCAGUACCUGCACUCUUCAGGGAGAGGAGCCACGGCUUCCCGGAGCUCCGAGGGCUCCUCCCAGGGGGUUAAGAGCUCCCCCGUCUCUCUCUGUUUCCCUGCUGUCUGGGUUCCCCCUCGACUGGGUUAGGUUGUUUUCAGGAUGUGGCCUUCAGAGUAGCAGGCUGUGGGGCUCUGAGGUUGCCUCUGCUGCCUGGGACUCGGACUGGGCACUCUGGGUUGGGGGGGAUGGGUCCUAGGACCUUCCUUCUGUCUACCCCUUAGGUCCGAGUGGUCUCGGGUUCUGGCUUUUGGGGGGGGGCAUAUCUUUUGAUUCAGGUCCAGCUCCAGGAGGAGGACUGUGCUGUUGAUCAUUUUGAAUUUCGGUGCCCUAGGAGCAUUUGGUUUGAGAUCAGUAAGGAAGGGUUUCAGGAGAUCUGGACUUUAGCUUUCUCUAAGCUGCCAUCUUGACCGGAAGUUCCAUACUUUUGUUAAGCUAAGUACCUAUAAAGGUCAAGCAACUUGUGAAUUUACAAGGAACAAAGAACUGGAAAACUUACUCAGAGCUUUCCUGGUGUGAAUUACUCAAAAAUCCACACCUUCUUAGGUGUGGACUAAGAAUGGGCGGUCCUUAUAGAAACAUCUACAGUGAUUGGCAGAUGUAAGGACUUAGGGGAGUUGACAGAGGAGAUUUUGCCCUUAAAAAUAAGAGCUCAGGGAAGAGCUGAGAAGUCAUUCUGAAACAUUCAGAUUGGAGAGACUCAUUCUGAGGAGACUGAUUCUGAAACAUUCAGAUGGAGGAGGGAGCUGGUGAAAGCAGCUGAGAUGCUGCUGGCCUGGUGUCAUUGGAAAUCCUUACUUAGACAGAUCUUAUGGUGAGUUAUAAAAAACUGACUGAUUUCUCUUUUAAGACUCAGGUCUAGGCCAUAUUGGCUUGAGGCCCUUCAUACUUAUUCCUUUCUUACUCUCUCUCUCUUUCUUUGAUU
RNAcentral lists this long non-coding RNA (1291 nucleotides) under Monodelphis domestica (gray short-tailed opossum). Its description in RNAcentral is "lncRNA (ENSMODG00000043676.1)". The record is from RNAcentral. Lineage: Eukaryota; Metazoa; Chordata; Mammalia; Didelphimorphia; Didelphidae.